AUGUCCUCUAGAAAGCAUUUAUCUGGUAGUGCCAAAAGGAAGAGAAAAAGGGAAAAAGAUGAAGAGGUAAAAUCCCUGAAAGGAUCACUUAACAAUUUUUUCAGACCUGUUAGUUCUUCUAGAGAUCCCCUGGAAUUGGCCAUAGUAAGUGUUGAAGAACAACCAACUGAGAAUACAAAUUCUACUGAUGAUGAUAUGAAUGAGGGUAAUAACAAUUCCAGUGAGGAAGAAAAUGUAACUCAUUCACUGAGUGUCGAUAAACAACAACCAUUCACUGUUGACAUUUUUGAUCCACGAAACUGGGAUAAUCUGGAUGAUAAGGCUAGGGAUAUUUUAGUUCAGAAGGGUCCCGUAAGAAAUGAUGAUAUUGUGUACCCUCCAGAUAUUAAUUCUAGACAUUUUUCACAAUCUUAUUAUUCCAGA
RNAcentral lists this ribosomal RNA (423 nucleotides) under Triticum aestivum (bread wheat). Its description in RNAcentral is "partial small subunit ribosomal RNA". Lineage: Eukaryota; Viridiplantae; Streptophyta; Magnoliopsida; Poales; Poaceae. The record is from RNAcentral.